Molecule: ribosomal RNA, 492 nt
Filed under: uncultured bacterium
Lineage: Bacteria
Description: partial 16S ribosomal RNA
Rfam family: Bacterial small subunit ribosomal RNA
Source: RNAcentral
AGUGAACGCUGGCGGUAGGCCUAACACAUGCAAGUCGAACGGCAGCACAGUAAGAGCUUGCUCUUACGGGUGGCGCGUGGCGGACGGGUGAGGAAUACAUCGGAAUCUACUUUUUCGUGGGGGAUAACGUAGGGAAACUUACGCUAAUACCGCAUACGACCUACGGGUGAAAGCAGGGGAUCUUCGGACCUUGCGCGAUUGAAUGAGCCGAUGUCGGAUUAGCUAGUUGGCGGGGUAAAGGCCCACCAAGGCGACGAUCCGUAGCUGGUCUGAGAGGAUGAUCAGCCACACUGGAACUGAGACACGGUCCAGACUCCUACGGGAGGCAGCAGUGGGGAAUAUUGGACAAAGGGCGCAAGCCUGAUCCAGCCAUACUGCGUGGGUGAAGAAGGCCUUCGGGCUGUAAAGCCCUUUUGUUGGGAAAGAAAAGCAGCAGGUUAAUACCCCGCUGUUCUGACGGUACCCAAAGAAUAAGCACCGGCUAACUUCGUG